This is a long non-coding RNA of Heterocephalus glaber (naked mole-rat), 3383 nucleotides long. NCBI's taxonomy places the organism in Eukaryota, Metazoa, Chordata, Mammalia, Rodentia, Bathyergidae. The record is from Ensembl.
UGUGUUUACGGUUUGCCUUCCCUAUCAGACUAUGAGCUGCCUGCGAACGAGAACUAUGUCUUACUCACUUUUGAAUUCUAGUUCCUCACUUGAUGAGUCCUAUGCUAUGGCUUGAAUGUGCCUCCCAAAGUUUGUGCAUUGGAGAUUUAAUUCCUAAAUUCCUAUGUUGACAAUAUUAGCAGAUAAUUAGGGUUAGAUGAGGUCAUGAGGGUGAGGUCCCCAUGCCAGGACUUGUGGCUUUAAAGGAAGAGGAAGAGACCUGAGCUUGCAAGAUCCCUCACUCUUGCCUUGUGAUACCCUCUGCCACACUGCGACACAGAAGGAAGACUCCCACCAGCUGUGGGCCUUCAGCCUUGGACUUCCCAACCACCAGAACUGUGAGAAAUUUCAUUUCUUCUUAAACUCCCCAGUCUAUUAUGUUACAGCAUCAUAAAACUGACAAGACCCCAUAAAUGUUUUGAUUCUCAAGGGCAUGUUCUGCUCAACACUUAGAGGGCUUCCCCCUUCAACUGAGUUCUCAGGCACCUCCUGGAGCUCAUCUGCACUGCCUCCAUCUUGAUCACCUGAAAUGUGUUAUGACACCUCUUCUCGUUUAGUUCUGUCUUCUCGAGGCUCCACUAACUCAAAUGUGUGCUGCAGAAUCUGCUGAAGGUUGGAGGUGACAAUGUACAUGUGUGUAUGAAGAAGACGGGGAUAAAUAUGAGAACAUAAGGCAGAGGAUCUGGAUUUAUUUCCCUAGAGGGCUUGUUGGGCAUCACCUGCCCUGUCCAACUUCGUCCACUCUAAGCCAGCUGGCCAGCACUGGGGGAUCAUCUGCCACAAUGGAACAGGCUCUGUCUGUCACUCUCUUCAACAGCAGAUGGCCACCCUGCACUCAUCCCCAUCAUACGCCAUCGCUAAGGGAGACACCAUGGUCCACCUACAAUUCACAAGCACUUUCCUCCAACUCAAGAGGAUGGAAAUCAUGGCUGUGUGCUGAAAUCACUCUGGGUCAGUAAUUUUUCAGCUAAAGGUGUCCUAUUGGGCAUUCUUACAAUAGAGAGAGGUGGAGCAAGAGGCCACUGGGAUUAUGUUAGAUUUUUAACAUGUGGGAUUAUGGUUAGAUUUUUAAUUGGAUUGGGCAUUUCAAUUAAGUUGGACAGAGCUUUUCAAGCAGGUCAAAGCACUGUCCCCUCAAGCAAGCACCUCUCUGUCUUGCCCAGCUUCCCUGAUUCGCAAGACAGUUCCUCACGAAAUGUUUUUCUUAUACUUUGUUUAUUUGAAGCUGGUAUGAUAGUCUGGGCAUGAGGCCCAGUUUAAUAUAAUUUUUACUGUUGCUACUGCACCCCCAAUUCUAUCAGGAUGGUUAUUAUUGUGUUGUCUAAGACACCUUACCACGGCAAUUACCACAGCCAGGUGUGCUCCCAUACUCACCCCACCCAUCCACCCACCCCACCCUUUCUACUUCAAACUUCAGAAAUGAAGCCAGUGUUCACUCUCAUGCCACCAAGACAGCAUGAAUUCCUGACUCGAUGGCAAAGCAAAGAUCAGCAGUUAUCUCAAUAAUGUGAUUGGGAGAGGUAAACAGUUCCUAUUACUGAAAUCCUGAAGUAUAGCAUGAGUUGAGAGAAUUUGGAAAAUUCCUCCAUUGCUUCUGAGUUCUAUAAACACAUAGGCUGCUUUCACAGCCUAUUUGCCUCCCUAAUUAUAUUUUACAUAAGCUGAUGCCUUUGGAUUAGUUUGUAGCAUAUAUCUACCAAAAGAUAUGUCACCUGGUAGGCUGGAGAGGAGAACUGACCAUAGAACACCAGUUAGAGUUGAAGAGUUGGUGACAAUAGUAUAGAUUCAGCAUUGACAAAAGAUGGGAACUUACAGCAUUUGGUCUGGAAAAAUGAUGUGUGUGUGCGUGUGCGUGUGUGUGUGUGUCUGUGUGUGUGGUCUAUUCCUGGUUUUACAGCAGAAUUGGUUUAGAGCAGAGUUGCUGAGGGUCAGACUCUUAGCAUUACUUUCAAACACAGGUGUUGAAGGCAAGGGAUUGCAAUAAUAACCCAUUUCAGGGUGUGGACAUUAGCCAACAGACAUGCACCUCUGGCUUCCUGCCAAGACCUAAGGUGAAACCCGGGCCUGGACUUGUCCACAAAGUUCAUGUCUUCAGCAGACAUAGUCUUGCUGCAGAAUUGGAUCCCAUGAACAAUGAGACUUACUGGAAAAAUAAAUAAAAUGCUUUAAAUGUUUAAAUGCAUUUCCAAGUAUUUAUCUUCCAAAUAUUUAGACUCUGAAUGGACUGGGCCAAGAGCCCAAGCUUCCUCUGCAUGCUGAGGUUCCAACUAUUUCCCCAAGAUCAGCAACUAUAUCACAAUUUAAAAGAUCAUCCUCUCGGAGCCAAAGCAAUCCCCAAGGUAUUACUCUAGGAAAUCAACUAGGUGUCUCCAUCCAAAAUCCUCCUUCAUAAUAUCUAUAGGAGCAGAUUAAUUUUAGUAAAUCUAAUAAAUAUUUCCAAAGGCCUCUAUAACACCAUGAUCUGUAUCCAUUAUGAACCUGCAGUGUAAACCUGAGUGGAGAUGGAUGAGGGGAAAGGAAGAAAGAGGGAUAGAGAUAUGGAAAGAACAACACUCAGCCUAUGAGAAUAUUGAUAGCUAUAGAUGGCUUUGAUACUCGAACCAAAUAUUAAGGGAUAAGUCUGAGUAAACCAAAAUUGUUUAGUUUUGAAUUUUUAAGAGACAACAAGGCCAGUGGAGGCUGAUGAUCUUUCACAUUUAAACUUCUCUAAAUUCAGUAAUCAAAUAAUUAUAUAAUUCAUUCUCCUUUUCCUAGGCAUAGCCAUACCAAAACUUUCUUUUUUUCCAUUCUUUUCUAAGCCUCCACAUUGGAGAGAUGGAGGGAAUGACAAAUCCAUGGUACUAUAGGGAAUCUAUCUACUUGUAGAAUUCAGCAAUCUCAUCUUUUUUUAUUUUAGUUUAUUAGACAGAGCAUGUGUGUAAUAUGUAAUGUUUACAUUCCUUGUGGGAAGUUGGUACAUGUACAUAGCACAUCAAUUCUUUUUUCAUUCCUUUUCCUUCUCUGCAUCCCCUCUCCACUCAUCUCUGAUUCCCUUUCCUCCUUUUUCCUUUGUACGUUUCAUAAUAAUCUUGGAAGUGGGCCAUAUGCCUAUCAACAGAUGAGUGGAUAAAGAACAUGUGUAUACAUACAAUGGAGUACUACUCUGCCAUAAAGAAAAAUCAACUUGAGUCAUUUGUAGGAAAAUGGAUGCACCUUGAGACCAUAAUGUUAAGUGAAAUAAAUCAGACACACAAACUUAAAUAUCACAUAGCUUCUUUUAUAUGAGAAACCCAAAAUUUUAAUGAAGAGCAAAAUAAAAGUUAGUAAUAGAAAGUGGGAAAGGGAAUUCUCAAAGGGGAAGGGGU